Molecule: unclassified non-coding RNA, 212 nt
Filed under: plant metagenome
Description: partial contains small subunit ribosomal RNA, internal transcribed spacer 1, and 5.8S ribosomal RNA
Source: RNAcentral
UUUCCGUAGGUGAACCUGCGGAAGGAUCAUUCAUAAUAAGUGUUUUAUGGCACUUUUUUAAAUCCAUAUCCACCUGUGUGCAAUGUCAGGGUUGAUUUUUCUCUCGAGAGGAUCAGCCCCAAACAUCAACUAUAUCUCAACUCUUUGUCUGAAAAAUAUUAUGAAUAAAACAAUUCAAAAUACAACUUUCAACAACGGAUCUCUUGGCUCUC